ACAGCAGCACCUUCACAUCGAACGAGCAGGACACAGAGACAGAGAGCAGCUACUCCACUCACUAGUAAUCGGUGUUAAUACAGCAGCACCUUCACAUCGAACGAGCAGGACACAGAGACAGAGAGCAGCUACUCCACUCACUAGUAAUCGGUGUUAAUACAGCAGCACCUUCACAUCGAACGAGCAGGACACAGAGACAGAGAGCAGCUACUCCACUCACUAGUAAUCGGUGUUAAUACAGCAGCACCUUCACAUCGAACGAGCAGGACACAGAGACAGAGAGCAGCUACUCCACUCACUAGUAAUCGGUGUUAAUACAGCAGCACCUUCACAUCGAACGAGCAGGACACAGAGACAGAGAGCAGCUACUCCACUCACUAGUAAUCGGUGUUAAUACAGCAGCACCUUCACAUCGAACGAGCAGGACACAGAGACAGAGAGCAGCUACUCCACUCACUAGUAAUCGGUGUUAAUACAGCAGCACCUUCACAUCGAACGAGCAGGACACAGAGACAGAGAGCAGCUACUCCACUCACUAGUAAUCGGUGUUAAUACAGCAGCACCUUCACAUCGAACGAGCAGGACACAGAGACAGAGAGCAGCUACUCCACUCACUAGUAAUCGGUGUUAAUACAGCAGCACCUUCACAUCGAACGAGCAGGACACAGAGACAGAGAGCAGCUACUCCACUCACUAGUAAUCGGUGUUAAUACAGCAGCACCUUCACAUCGAACGAGCAGGACACAGAGACAGAGAGCAGCUACUCCACUC
Molecule: long non-coding RNA, 771 nt
Organism: Acipenser ruthenus (sterlet)
Lineage: Eukaryota; Metazoa; Chordata; Actinopteri; Acipenseriformes; Acipenseridae
Exons: 10
Source: RefSeq, a predicted model, not a curated record